GGUGGUGAGACCAGGGGCUCUCUGACCACCCCAAGGAGCCUGGUCCGCCCAGCAUUUCUCCAGCCUCAUUAAAAUGUACCCACUUUGUGUCUCGUCUCCCCUGGUCCCCAUAUCCCAGCCCUGCCUGGGUGUUGGAUGCAAAGCACUCUUUCCUGGCCUUCGAUUCUGGAUAUUCAAAAGACAGCGGUUGAGCCACAAGUAGUGGGUUGUUUUUUUUUUUUUUGUACCGCAUUUAAAAUGCCUUUCUGGAAGGUCGUUUAGGAAUGGUGAGCCAGCGUGUGGGGUCUCUGGACUGUGUGUGGGGGCUCCGUGUGGACAGGCCGUGGGGUAAGAAAUCUCUCAGUCCCAUCAAAGCUUAGAGCAUGCGUGCAUGCGUGUAUAAGUCAUUCAGUCGUGUCUUUGUGACCCCAUGGACUGUAGCCCGCCAGGCUCCUCUGUCCAUGGGAUUCUCCAGGCAAGAAUUCUGGAGUGGGUUGCCAUGCCCUUCUCCAGGGGGUCUUCCCCACCCAGGGAUGGAAGCCACAUCUCUCAUCUCUUGCCUUGGCAGACCAGCUCUUUACCGUUGAGCCACUGGAGAAGCCCAACCUUAGAGUAGACCCCGCUAACCUGGGGUUGGCUCCAGGUGGCUUCUUGCCACACAGGCUGAGCCUGUGAACGAAAAUGCUGGAAAACCCUGCUGUGCCCAUGUUCGUCUGGGGCAUCUCUUGGGAAGGCAGGCUCCCACGUUGGUUCCCAGGCGCUCUGAGCACAGCACCCUGCGCUGAGUUCACAGCAACCGAAAGGAAUCAGGCUCCGUGGUUGUCUUCAGCCCGCAGCUGGGGAGAUGCUGACGCCCAGGAUGGGCUCCUCCGUGGGGCACAGGGCCACCUGGGGGCCAGGGAGCCUGGGAUGGCUGAAGGGCUAGCUCUCCUGGGAGGAGAAGGCAGUGUGAACCGCCUCAUGGAGACCUCACUGUGUGUGGUGAGUCAGGUCGGGGAGAACACGCAGCCUGGAGCAGCUGGUGUGUAGGGGGAUGUGUGUGUGCACGUGUGUGCACGUGUGCGCAUGCACAUGUGUGUGCACGCAUAUGCGUGUGUGCAUGUGUGUGACACCCAAGGCUGGACAACUUGGCAGGGACAGGACCACGCAUGUCCCAUAAACGUUGUACCUUAGAUUUCACCCUGUAGGCCGGGCUUCCCAAAUCGGGUCUGGGAUUCUGAAAACAAGUGUCCUGGGGCCCAAACAUUCUAGAAAGUAAACUCCAGCCCUGCAGUGGGGAGUCACACUCAGCUUGAGUCUAUCAGAGCCCCUGAGAAAGCCUGCAACAAGGUAAAAAAAAAAAUGAUAAAAACCCAGGGUUUCCCAAGAGAACUUCAACAAAGAGCUCCUUCCUGGGAGAAUGCACGGGACCUCCCCCUGGCACGCUGGGGUUCCAGGGAGCCUGGUUUGGGAAGCAUUAUGUGGGAUUAGCCAUGAUUAUAUGGGACAGCCUUUGAAGGGUUUUAAGAGAAGUGAGGGUGAUGUGGUCAGGCUUGUGCUUGGAUUGUACCUGGGAGACUGGGGACGUGGGGCCACUCAAUGUCACGGGGGUGAACGUUAUCAUUUACUGCGUGCCCACUGCGCCCUCUGCCUUGGGGCUCAGAGCCAGCGGGCCCAUCUCAGGCCAUGCUGGUGGGUCAGACAGGCAGAGGGCUCAGGGUGGGCUCCCCAAAGCCAACUUCCCAAGUAGUGGAUGCUCUUAGAGUCAGGCUCCAGGGCGCCAGCGGCUGGAGUGGGUUGGAGGUGGUCUAGGCAUUUUGAAGCCUUUAUUUUCUCUAAUAACUAUUAAAUGUUGUAUUCUUUUUUUAAAUGUUCAUUUACUUGGCUGCCCCGUGUCUUAGUUGAGGCCCAGGGGAUCUUUAGUGUGGUUGAUGAACUCUUAGUUGUAGCAAAUGGGACCUAGUUCCCUGACCAGGGGUUGAACCCCGGGCCCCCCACAACGGAUGCACAGAGUCUUAGCCCCUGGACCACCAGGGGCGUCAUGAAACCUUUCUUCUUGGCUGAUGGAGUCCUGGCUUGCGAAGCCCCUGCCCUGUUUGUCCUGCUGGCCAUGGGCUGGUAACAAGGCCCCUGUGAUGAGGCAGAGCCCGGCCGGGCCCUGGAGAAACGGAUGGUGGGGGAGACACGGGAGGCUGAGCAGAGAACAGUAGCGUGGCGGCCACAGGCAGAUGCAGAGGGCUCAGGGGCUGAGUGGGAGGCCCGCAGCUGGGGCUGGCCCUGCCCCUCCUAUGAACACAGUGCUGCCCAUGAGGCCCCGGUCCUCAGUUUCCUCAUCUGUCAAGUGGGGUGAUUGCUCCGUUUCGGUGAAUUGGUGCAGACAGUAAUGAGCUACAGCACGCACACACGUGCCUCUAACGAGCGGUCCCCAGACGGUCGAUUACUUUGUGCAUUAUGAUCAUACUUCUGACGCCUCCCACACCCUUUCCAUCACCUGGCGAGGCCUGGAGGCUCCCCAGAGGCGGAGCUCCAGUGCUGAGCGGCGGGAGGUGACCCGGGCUCUCUGGACAGAUGGAUAGGGAGGACGCAGGGAGCUGGGAGCCGGGCAAAGGCAGAGGGACCGGCCGCACCGGGUGGGCGCGCAGACCGCAAGCCCUGUCGUCACAGCCCCCGGGGCAGGGGGCACCCAGAGGGGCUGAGGCCAUUGGAGGGCGGGGAGGGGCGGCCUCGGUGGGUGGGGUGGCCUCGGUGGGCGGGGCCACAUGGGCCCAGCCUCCGAUGGGCACCUUGCACAGCAUGGUCCGUGCGCGGCCUGCCCUUACUCCCGGCGCCCGCCCGGGCACAGGGACCUCAGACAUCCUGCUUCCCACGAGGCGGCAGGGGCAGAGUCCAGCCCCUGUGGGACUGGAGUCGGUCCUGGGCUCCGACCGGCACUGUCUCACUUGGCGAAUCUGUUCCUUACUCAUGCACCCGAGAUGUGCUCAUGGAGUCAGGGAAGGGCCAAGUGAUGGGGCUGAGGUCACUCGGCUGGGAAAUGACAGAGGCAGGCCUGGCCCGGCUCCGGCUGGCUCUCUUCUUCAGGCAGGGCGGUGGACCCCCGAGGUCUGGGGUCAGGAUCAGGCCUGGGUCUUCAGCGCCAAUAGGCUCAACCUCUAUAGAGCAUUCCUGGCGGCGUUACCCGCUCCCCUACCCCGGGCCUUCCCAGGGCCUGGUCAGAAAUCACCGUGUGAUGUCCAUGUGUAGAGGCAGGUAAGGGGCUACUGUCUCCAGCAUAUCCCCCCUGGACGUGAGUCCUGCUGGCUCCACCCUCACUUGCCUUCGGAUGCACCCAGGGUCCUGUCUCCAGCCCCCUCCUUCCCUGAGCUGGAAUCCUGUGUCUCAGCUGGCCCUUACCCUCAACCGACAGGACCACCCCAGGGGAGUUUAGGUCAGAAGGCUUCGUCACGCUUUGACCCCAUACUUCCCCGCAUCCCUCACUCCCUGUCUGCAGGAGGGUCCUCAGCUUGACCUUGAGAUGUUACCCCCAGGGUCCCUCCAGCCACGCUGGCCUCCGCAGACCUUCUCUGCCUCCCUCAUUCUCCCUUCGGUCACUUCUUCACACGGCGGCCAGGGUGACCGUGAUAAAUCCGUGCCGCCCAUCACGGGUGUUCCCCAACACCUACCCUGAGCCCCAGACCCCUGUGCUGUCUGGCCCUGCCCACCCCUCCAACACCGUCUCCUCCCUUGCUCCAGCCACACCGGUCUCCUUUCCACCUCAGGGUCUUUGCAUGUGUGGUGUCCAUUGCAUCAAAUUCCUGUUCCCUCACCUUCGUGGGACCGAGUCCUCAACUUGCCUUAGCCUAGAUGAGCUGCCCUCUCUGAUUGCCUGGGUAGUCCCUUGCCUCAGCCUCAUGGGCGCACCGUGGGGACUCCUCUGAACCACCUCUCAUUUCUUCUCUGACUCAAUGACUUAUUUUCAACUUCACCAGGCUCUGAGCCUCACAGGGCGGACGUCUGGUCUGUUUGUUCUCUGCAGGCCUGGUCCAGCAGCUGAGCUCAGUUGGUGCCGUUGGAAUGAAAGGCCAGCCCACGUGGUGUGUGUCCCUCCUCGCAUACCCCCAGUGAUGGUGGGCUCACUACCUACCCAGGGAGCUUUUGCCCCUUCCCAUGUCUGUGCGAGGCAGAUGCUACAUGUUGGGGAUGAGUAUCCGUCAGGGGGAGAGUAAAGGCCAGAGAGCUGCGUAUGCAUGGAGCAGAGGGAUCCCUUUUCGCAGCCUCUGCCCACAGCUGCAGACCAGGAGGCCUGCGAGUAUGCAGUUAAGUCGGAAUUUCGAGCCCCUGGGCAGUUCAUUCAUUCUCAGUCGCUUCGGCCGUCGUCGGACUCUGUCCCUGGGAUUUUCCCAGCAAGAAUCCUGGAGGGCAAUUCACAAUGUGGCAUUUAAUCAUCGGCUUUUAUUGUUCAGCCCCAGAGCAGGUGCCCGUGGAGACUCUGGGCUCUGUUUAUUUAAGAGCUUUGUUGACUUUCGGGGUUUAAUCCCCUUAGCAGCUUCCCGGGCCCCGCACUCAGGACUCACCCGGGCCCCCACCUCUCACCUUAGUGGCUUCCCGGGCCCUGCACUCAGGACUCACCAGGGCCCCCUCCUCUCCCCUCCCCCCGCCCGCACCAGGGGCUGAGUUGCAGCCUCUGGCAGCUCCUGAGGACCCAUGAGGAGCCAGGGGUCCGGCCAAGAGGAGCUUAGGGCCUGGACUGCUGUGCCGCCAUCCUUUCCCGGCCAGGGCUUAGCCUGGACAGCACCCUCACCCUGCCGCCUCGCGCUCCCUAAAGCUGGUCUGGAGGUGCGCUGGGAUCCCACAGCACCCCGUCCGGUCCUGCCUUCCCCAGGCCUGUCCCCUUCCCAUGCACCUCCACACGGGACCCCCCACUUGCCUUUGGGGACCAAGCAGGACUUCCCAUGCAGCCCACUGGCUCAGUACAUCCUGGGCUGUGCUUCAUGUCCACCUCCACCACCACCACCACCAGCCAAGUCCCUGUGAAAUCCCUGAUCAUCUGUGCCAUGAGGGACAGAGGACAAAUGGGUGGAACUCGGGGGAGGGAGAACACAUCUCUGGGUUGGGGAGAGGGAGCAGUCAGGGAGAGCUUCCUGGAGGAGGUGGCAUCUAAACAGCCAUGGAGAUGCCCGAUGCAAACAGAGCCUGUGCAGGAGGAUAGCAGGAAAUGCUAAGCAUAGGUGGGAGGAGCUGUGAGGGUGACCCGUCUUCAGGAAAUGAGAGACCCCUGAAGCUUAUGGGUAACAGGUGUGCAGAGCGGGGUGCCGGGGCCCAGCUCGUGGGAGUCUGGUGCCUGAGUGGGUCUUUGCUCGGCUGGCAGGCGAGGGAGACAGGCCCCAGAGGCUCUGGAACCUCAUGACGGGGCAGGGGCAGGGCGGGCAGGCAGCCGGGCCUGUCCUGAAAGAGCAGGUUUGGAGAGCUCUGCUUAGGUUCUGGCGUGGGUUCUGGCGCGGAGGGUGUCCAGUGCGGGAUGGGCUUUCACGGCAGGAGCCUGGCUGGCGAGCGGCCCUGGCCCUGGGUUGGUGCUGUGUCACUGUGUUUGCGUCACUGAGAGGGGGCGGCUGAGGUUUGGGGCAGGGCCGCAGGCUCAUCGCCCCUCCAGACUGUGGGGGCCCCCUCCAUGACCUGCGGGGCCCGUGGAGCCCCACCCCCACCCUGUCCAAAUCCAGGUCUGAGCUUGUCUUCAAGUCCACAUCCCAAGGGGACCUGAUGGAGACCACCCAGCCACUUGGGGAGUGAACUGCCCCGAGUCCGUCACGCCGCGAGCGUUGUACCAGGGGAGCCGGAACCCAGGUGUGCCGGGCUCAAACCCCUGACGGCGUCCACCUGGCCCGACACGUGCCCCUUGGCUGCCAAAAGCCUGGGAGAAAUGAGGCCAAGCACAGAAGCCUCCUUGCAGGCCUGGGGUUCAUACAAACCAAGUGUGGAGCGGUGGGCCACUGGCUGAGUCCCGCCAGAAGCACUGAAAGCCACCUCCUCCUGGGCUGCUCUAAUGGAGAGAAGCCAGCAGGCUUUACCAGGGUCAAGGGUGAGACCUUGUGCUGCAGGCUAAACACCCGUCAUGUCUGGGUUUGUCAUGGCCUUUCUAAGAAAAGACCCCAGCAAGGUACAGUGGCCUGCCCGAGGUCAGCAGGUGGGAAGAGACAGCUCUGCCCUGAGACUGGUCCUUCUGACCAUCCCUGGACACCGGGCAGGCCUCCAGCACCUUGAGGAAGUGGCCUCCCAGCUUUGAUAAAGGUGUUGAAUAGUUGGAGAAAGAAUGAAAGCACAGACUCCUUGUCCUAGAGUAGCACAGACUCCUUGUCCUAGAGUAGCACAGACAUGGCCAGGACAUGUGGGGUGUGUGCCUCCCAAACAGAAGGCCAGGUCUGCUGCAGAGGGGAGCAGGGGGCCCCUGCGGUUGUGCCACGCACAACCUGCCCGACUAUGCUUUAGCCCUCUUGCAAAGCCAGGACUGAGACCCAGUUCUGUUCGAGUUCCACCACUUCCCGAGGUGAGGCCCUGCAAGUCUAGGCUCUCCACACCUCAGCUUCCCCAUCUGUGAAGGGGGGACAACAGACCCUCCUCCCUGGAUCACUGACAGUCGAUGAGAUAAUUCACCCCUGUGUAAGGGUUAACAGGCGUUCGUGGGAACAAACCUAAGCGUUGUCAAGUGGACGCUUCUGACGUGAAUGGAGUUUAUGAGGGAGGCAGGGCCACUGAGGAUGGGAAGGAGCCAGAAGGCAGCGUUGGCAGAAAGGCUGCCAUGUGCCAGGCCUUGCCCACAGGGGUUCCACUGGCCUCAUUUAGCCCCCAUGUCACAGCUGAGGACCCUGAGCCCAGAGGAGUCAACUGAUGGGCCAGUAGGCGGGGAGGGUUUCCUGUAAGAGGAAGACCAGGGGGUUGACCCCAUCUUAGCUUGCGGGCGGCCUGGAGUCCUGCCUGGCCUGUGGGGCCCCUUCAUAAAGUACAAACAGGCUGGUGGCAGAGCCCUCUGCUCCGUGGCGUUGGCUGCAGCCGCAGUGGGAUUCACAGCUGGAGGAGCUGGGCUGGCCCCGAGCUGAGGACCGGCCAUGCCAGGCUCUCCGGGAGCAGGACAGCCCGCCACCCUGGACAAGGACCAACAAGGAGAAAGAGACGUGUCAGGGGUCGGGGGACCUUGCUGCCAGCUUUGCUGGGUGCUCUGACCUCUCUGAGCCUUUUUCCUCACCUGUACAAUCGUGACGAUCCCUGCCCUGCAGAAUGGCUGUGAAAAUUCCCUGAAGCCUAAGUGCCUGAAGCCUGGGCUGGCGUGGCCUGUGGAGUGGAGGUCUGGCUGCAGCCCUCAGCCCUGUGUUCCAGGGAUGGGAGCCUGGGGGUCGCAGACAGUAGGGGUCCCCCCUCCCCACCACCCCACCCCGGGAGCUGCAGCAGGAUCUGAAGUCACCGUCUUUGGCUGCGGGGAGACAGUUCACUCCGGGACAGGCAUGUUUUCAAGAAAAAGAAAAACACAGGCAGGGAGCCAUCCUGGGAACUAAUUAGAUCCGGAAGGCGGCCCCUGGGGCUGCAAAGCGGCCCCUUGUGGGUGGUGGGUGGGGCCUGGGGGUGUGGGCGAGAGGCCGAGGAGGGGCCCCUGGGACCAUGCACCCACUCUCAGGGCCCCUGUUCCCCAUGGCUCUCUGCUCACCGCCGUGGGUCAGGGGCGCCCAGGCCACGGGGACAUUCUUGGAGGACAGGUCUGGGAGAGGGGUCACACAGGGCCUUGGGCCCCAGAUGAGAGCGCUUGGUCCCUGAGCCCACUGAGUCAGGCAGGGCGGGCUCCCCAGGGGCAGUGUGUUGGCCUGGGCCUAGGGGUCUGCAGGAGAAGGACUGACUACAAAGGUUCGGGGGAUACUUCAGAGCGUGCGUGCUUGGGGAACCACAGCUGAGGCCACCGGGAGGUGGGCACAGCACUAGCGAGGCUGAGGACUAAAUGGGACACCUUGGUCCCCGAGCCCUGGUGAGAGGUUGCCAUCUGGCCGCAUUGUGGACGGAUGGGCCCAGCCUGGGACCUUGUGGGCACCUGCUGAUGAUCCCUCCAUCCUCAGUUCCUAGCUGACUGCUGGGUGAUGACGGGGGUAGCAGGGGAGUCUUCUGAUUGCAGGAGGCAAUAGAAGAAUGGGCAGUGACCUCUGAGUUAGAGGGAAAAAAACCGAGUCUCAGUCCUGGCUCUGCCCGCUGUGUGCUGGACAGGUAAGGUGUACAGUCGGGCAGGUUGCGCACUGCACAACUCCAAGGGCAGCCUUCACACAGGGAUCUCUGUUAACAAUGGCCCCUGGGUGUGCAGUGCCCAACCUGUGUGACCAGUGGCCCUGGGAGGGGUGUCUGGGCCAGUCUGUCUGCCUUCCUGGGCUGGGACUUCCCCACCCAUUCCCCUGGCCAUCGUGAGCAUCGAGUCAGCACACAGUAGAUCCUCUUCCAGGGUCCGCCACUGUCAGCCCUCCUGGAAGCCCUGCCCCACAGAGACGCAGGAGUUCUUCCUGACCAGGACUUCCAAGGCCUGCAGACUCCAGCUCAUUUUUGAAAACACACACACGAUGCUAACAGCUGAAUCUGGUCAAGACUGACUGUUGACUUCAGAACUUUGGCUCCAGGACAGGCCUGUUCCUGGCACACGGCUCCCACGGCGAGACCUGCUUAGGAGGCUGAACAACCUUUGUGGUGGUGUUUGCCGACCUGCUGUGUGCUGCUGGGUCAGUUGGGGUCUGGCAGAGCAUCCCUGCCCUCCAUCCUUCCCACCCUCCCCCUCUCAGGGGCCGCCUUGGGGGUCGCCUCUGCUGGUGACAGCUGGGCUGUGGGGCAUCCCGACAGGGCUGCUGUGUCCCAAAGGAGCUGGUGCACGGGUGGGAGGUGAGCCCUGCCCGCCUUCUCCCUGGGGUUCCUGCAGCCUCCAGGGCCCUGCAGCCUGCCCGCGGGGGUGCUGGGAACAGUGCAGUCUCUCGCUUUCACACCCUCCAGCCCAGCUCACACACACACACACACGCGCGCACACACAAAC
Long non-coding RNA from Bubalus bubalis (water buffalo), 8977 nucleotides. RefSeq lists it as uncharacterized. Lineage: Eukaryota; Metazoa; Chordata; Mammalia; Artiodactyla; Bovidae. The record is from RefSeq and is a predicted model, not a curated record. The transcript is spliced from 3 exons.